CAUAUCAAUAAGCGGAGGAAAAGAAACCAACAGGGAUUGCCCCAGUAAUGGCGAAUGAAGCGGCAAGAGCCCAAAUUUGAAAUCGGGCAACCGAGUUGUAAUUUGGAGACGGGACACUAGAGAGGAGGAAGGCGAUUAAGUGCCUUGGAACAGGCUGCCGUAGAGGGUGAGAGCCCCGUGAAUCGCUGGAGACCGAUCAAUUAGUGCCCGCCGAAGAGUCGAGUUGUUUGGGAAUGCAGCUCUAAGCGGGUGGUAUAUUCCAUCUAAGGCUAAAUAUUAGCGAGAGACCGAUAGCAAACAAGUACAGUGAUGGAAAGAUGAAAAGAACUUUGGAAAGAGAGUGAAAUAGUACGUGAAAUUGUUGAAAGGGAAGGGUAUUUGAUCCGACAUGGUGUUUAGCAGCGGCCCGUUCCUCGUGGAUGGGUGCACCUGGUUUACACUGGGCCAGCAUCGGUUCUGGGAGCCAUAUACGGGGUUCGUGAAUGUGGCCCUUCGAUUCUGUCGGAGGGUGUUAUAGCGCGGGCAUCUUGUGGCUAGCCGGGACCGGGGACUGCGGUGGCUUUUGUCACCAAGGAUGCUGGCAGAACGAGCAAAUACCACCCGUCUU
Molecule: ribosomal RNA, 607 nt
Filed under: Brettanomyces bruxellensis
Lineage: Eukaryota; Fungi; Ascomycota; Pichiomycetes; Pichiales; Pichiaceae
Description: eukaryotic LSU rRNA
Rfam family: Eukaryotic large subunit ribosomal RNA
Source: RNAcentral